Molecule: non-coding RNA, 30 nt
Filed under: Callithrix jacchus (white-tufted-ear marmoset)
Lineage: Eukaryota; Metazoa; Chordata; Mammalia; Primates; Cebidae
Also listed under: 1 other name
Source: RNAcentral
AAAUUAUUUUUGAAUCAUGUAGACUUGGGU